GUCACAGAAAUAUCCAAAAUACCAUUUCAAAUCGUGCUGAAAUAGAAUUCAGGUCUGAUUAUACAACCAAGCACGCUGAAGUAACCAAACUAAUCAUAAACAUUACAGUAGGCUGGUUUGUGUACUGGAAGCCCUUCCAUCUUCAGGGAGUUGGCACGCAUGUGCGUGCUAUUGACCUGUAAUUAUCAGAGGCCUGGCAGAUGUGUGCACGCCACGUGCCACCCACCUUCAGCCAACUCUUCAUUCAUCAUCUUCUCUUCACGUCCACUUCCGGUUCCACGCCAAAUGUCUUCUUUCUCUUCAUUUCUCCUUGAAAACAGGGCCCAGCACCAAGAUUCAUCCUACAAAGAAAAGCCAGAGAAACUUAGCAUAGAUUCAAGUUAAGUCACCUACAAAAUCAUAAGAUUUAAGGUUCAAAUAAGUGUAAAAUUUACACUUAUCAAUUAUCUCAUUCAGUUCUGAUUGUAAUUAGACGCAAAAUUACCUUGUUGAAGACCUUCCUUUUGUAUCCCUAGCUUUGUUGUAUAUAUUGAGGCAUUGUAUAUCGAAGAUAACAUAAGAAUAGGAAUUAUUUUCUAAAAUAUCCACUGGCGAAGUGUUUUUCCUUUGGUAUCAAAAGAAGCCAAAAUAUCUUGGACUUGGGCCUUAAUAGAUGUUAGUGUCCGGAUUUGUUAUUUAGCCAUUUAGGGAGAUUGGGUCGGUGAUUUCUCUCUAAUAAGUAGUGUCAAUAAUAGAAAGUUGUUUUCUAUAUUUUGGUAGUGCCUAUUGAUAUGAUGCGAUUAGAUUGCUUCCAGAUUUUUUGUAUUUUCUCAUGUCUUACUUUUGUAUAGUAGCUGGUUCGCAUUCUGUUGUGAUGCUCUCUAUCAAGCAUGUGUAAUCCUCG
This 883-nucleotide long non-coding RNA is filed under the name Olea europaea subsp. europaea. Lineage: Eukaryota; Viridiplantae; Streptophyta; Magnoliopsida; Lamiales; Oleaceae. The record is from RNAcentral.